UACGUAGGGUGCAAGCGUUAAUCGGAAUUACUGGGCGUAAAGCGUGCGCAGGCGGUUUUGUAAGUCUGAUGUGAAAUCCCCGGGCUCAACCUGGGAAUUGCAUUGGAGACUGCAAGGCUAGAAUCUGGCAGAGGGGGGUAGAAUUCCACGUGUAGCAGUGAAAUGCGUAGAGAUGUGGAGGAACACCGAUGGCGAAGGCAGCCCCCUGGGUCAAGAUUGACGCUCAUGCACGAAAGCGUGGGGAGCAAACAGGAUUAGAAACCCCUGUAGUCC
RNAcentral lists this ribosomal RNA (273 nucleotides) under uncultured bacterium. RNAcentral's name for it is "partial 16S ribosomal RNA". It matches the Rfam family "Bacterial small subunit ribosomal RNA", at positions 524 to 796 of the family's 1533-position model. The record is from RNAcentral.